GGGGGGAGGCCGGAUCCUGGGCUGUGUCCCGGCUCCCUGUGCUCCCGGCCUCUGUUGGAUUCGCGCUCCUGGCCCUGCAGCCCCCU
Molecule: non-coding RNA, 86 nt
Organism: Canis lupus familiaris (dog)
Lineage: Eukaryota; Metazoa; Chordata; Mammalia; Carnivora; Canidae
Source: Rfam